AUUAGGAAUCUUGCGCAAUGGGGGCAACCCUGACGCAGCGACGCCGCGUGCGGGAUGACGGGCUUCGGCCUGUAAACCGCUUUUGAAGGGGAAGAACAAAUGACGGUACCCUUCGAAUAAGCCCCGGCUAACUACGUGCCAGCAGCCGCGGUAAUACGUAGGGGGCGAGCGUUGUCCGAAGUUACUGGGCGUAAAGCGCGCGUAGGCGGCUCUUUAAGUCUGGCGUGAAAGGUUCAGGGCUCAACCCGAACAGUGCGCUGGAGACUGGAGAGCUUGAGGACGGGAGAGGGAAGCGGAAUUCCGGGUGUAGCGGUGAAAUGCGUAGAUAUCCGGAGGAACACCGAUGGCGAAGGCAGCUUCCUGGCCCGUAUCUGACGCUGAGGUGCGAAAGCGUGGGGAGCGAACGG
Molecule: ribosomal RNA, 407 nt
Filed under: uncultured bacterium
Lineage: Bacteria
Description: bacterial SSU rRNA
Rfam family: Bacterial small subunit ribosomal RNA
Source: RNAcentral